UGGUGCGGCCAUAGUCCGGCCACUCCUCGCGGGUCGAGGCGGACACCUGCUGGUCGUUAACCAGCACAGGCAACUGUCAGGAUGAGUAGGGGGGUGGUGAAAUCGUGCCCACCCGGCCCUGGAACGAGGCACGUGUCCCUCAGCGAGUAGACACAUGCUGCUGGGCCUCUGAGCCUACACAGCAGACAUAACUCGAGAGUUCAUCUUACGCAUUUUCCUCCUUUGAAACAAUCAGCAGCUGGGAUGCUUUUUUAUACAGUGUCUCCUGCUGACUGCUGUCACAGCUUCUGCUGCUCGUCCCGAGGCCUGUCUCUGCGCCGUGUUGCUAGGCAAUGCCCGGCCCGGCCGGAUUUAAAUAAACGCGCAGACAGCACCCAGAACACGGUCCUCCGCCCACUGAUUGCUCCUCGCACCAAAGCUGGAAGCAGGAGACCCUUCGUAUGGUCCACAGGGGUACUUUGACAUAGUCGGAGGAGUUAUUUUCAAGAAUUAAGUCGAGAAACCCUGACAAGAACACUAAGUACAGUCAAGUCGGUUUGUCAUAUUGAGAAAAACAUCCCUUUGCCCUGACUCCGUGGGGGACACUUACGCCGAGGGUCAUACCUCGAUCUGCACUGACGGCAGAAAAUAGCUUUCCAAACAACGACUUUCUCUUUGAAAGGAAUUUUGACGCCUGACGUGGAACCAGAAAUGUAUCCUUCACCUAACAAAUGAGUGUGCAAAGAUGGAGAAUGUCAGAUAGUCACAAACGGCUUUCAGGUGCCACUUCUGUAUCGGUCACACACACAGAACAAGACAACAAGCACAAAGGAAAAGAAAAUAUGAAGCAGGAGAAAUAGGGAUAGUCAUUAACUCCAGUGAAGUUCAAAAGAUGGCGUGAGUUCCACAAACACCGAGAACACAUCGAAGAAGCUUGCCCGGCUGAGUAACAAGCAGGUGGUUCAGCCGCGGAAGUCCCCCACCACGCAGAACAGAUCCCUGGAGGCAGAAAGGCAGAGGAAUUGCUUAUGAUCACCUUCUGUCGCUCGAGGGUCAAAGGAUGCCCCGUGGGAUGUCAACUGCACGGCUGGGCUGAUUCAAAGAGCCAACUUCUACUCCUGUAUCACGAGACCUUGUCGGACUUGAGAGGAGGCAGGAGCGCCCUCACUCCCGGCUUGUGGGACCUGGGCCGGCCCUGGCUCCCGGGGGGCUGAGCAUGGAGAGGCGCAGCAAAGGGGAAGCCAGCCAGGCUGUCUGCUUGUGGACGACCGAGACCUGGGCCAGAGGCGGGAACGAGAACCUGGAGAGGACCACAUCUAGGUCCUUAAAGCUGAUAAAAUGUUAUGAACGUCAUAAACCAUUUUAAACCAAGUGGUCAGACAUACUCUUCCCUUAGGCAAGACGAUUGCUUUCAACAUCUCUCUGCACCUGCUUCCAUCCAGAACCAUAACAGCAGGGGAGAAUCACAGAAGGGACACGGGGGAGGGGGAGUCAGCAGAGUAUACGGUGCAUCAUCAUACGGAGGGCGCCCUACACAGAGCACCUCGCUUCGUCCCCGAGGCCACCGUAAGCGAGCAUCGCUAUUGACACCUACGCAUGCAGAAACCAGCAUCCACGAGGAUCAGAGUUACAACUAAGCUAAGUUGUAAGCUGGAAGUUAAGCCCCUUGGUGGCCCCGAGUCUCUGUGCCACCAGGUUGAACCAAGUGAUCCUCGGUCAGGAGCAUCAACCCUCCUUCCCCGGACCUUCCUGUCUUAUAGCACAAACAUGUUGACAUGGUGAAUAGCGUAGCUCCUCAGUCUCCUGAGUGUGAAAAUCGGCUCGGCUGACAGGAAGGAAACAGGACACAGCCCCGUGCGGGUCAGGCUUGGAGGACAGACCCAGACGCACCCGCUGUCCAUCUGCAGGAGGUGGCGCAGGGCCGUGACCGGCCGUGACCUGCCGUGUCGAGCCCGCCUCUGAGUGACAGGGCCUCCUUCCGGUGCCCCCCACAGCCCUCAGCUCUCUCCACCUAGAGCUGGGACGCUGGGCUCCUCAAGUGUCCUUGCCAAAUGCCGGGUUAACCCUUUACUAAUCCCGUCCCAGGAAGAGACAUCGGUCCAAAUGGGUCCUGCCUCCCCCCCCCCCGUGUCCCGACUUAGAAGGGGCCCUCCCGCCCUGCUGUUGGAGACACCAGGCUCCUUCGGGUCAGGACGGGACUACAGAUCCAUUGCGAGCUGUCACAGGGGUGAGCGUCAUAGGUUUUAUGCUUAAAACAGAUUCCCACCGUGCCGAAGACAGACCCCGAACCAGCACACGUAGCCGGAAGUAUUUGCCAGGUUGUUUACCUCGGUACAGGUGAUCCUAUCAUUUUAAAUCAACGUUCUCGGGGCGCCUGGGUGGGGCAGUCGGUUAAGCGUCCGACUUCAGCCAGGUCACCAUCUCGCAGUCAGUGAGUUCAAGCCCCGCGUCAGGCUCUGGGCUGAU
This is a long non-coding RNA of Felis catus (domestic cat), 2445 nucleotides long. RefSeq lists it as uncharacterized. The transcript is spliced from 4 exons. The record is from RefSeq and is a predicted model, not a curated record. NCBI's taxonomy places the organism in Eukaryota, Metazoa, Chordata, Mammalia, Carnivora, Felidae.